Molecule: ribosomal RNA, 253 nt
Filed under: uncultured bacterium
Lineage: Bacteria
Description: partial 16S ribosomal RNA
Rfam family: Bacterial small subunit ribosomal RNA
Source: RNAcentral
UCCGUAGGGGGCAAGCGUUGUCCGGAUUUACUGGGCGUAAAGCGCGCGUAGGCGGGAAGAGAAGUCCGGUGGGAAAGCCCACGGCUCAACCGUGGAAGAACGCUGGAAUCUCUCUUUCUUGAGGGCGGCAGAGGGAAGUGGAAUUGCUGGUGUAGCGGUGAAAUGCGUAGAUAUCAGCAGGAACACCCGUGGCGAAGGCGGCUUCCUGGGCCGCCCCUGACGCUGAGGCGCGAAAGCGUGGGGAGCGAACGGG